Molecule: ribosomal RNA, 404 nt
Filed under: Actinomycetes bacterium
Lineage: Bacteria; Bacillati; Actinomycetota; Actinomycetes
Description: Actinobacteria bacterium partial 16S ribosomal RNA
Rfam family: Bacterial small subunit ribosomal RNA
Source: RNAcentral
UGGCGAAUAUUGGACAAUGUGCGCAAGCCUGAUCCAGCCAUGUCGCGUGAGUGAUAAAGGCCCUUGGGUUGUAAAGCUCUUUCACCGGUGAAGAUAAUGACGGUAACCGGAGAAGCAGCCUCGUCUAACUUCGUGCCAGCAGCCGCGGGAAUACGACGGGGGCUAGCGUUGUUCGGAUUUACUGGGCGUAAAGCGCACGUAGGCGGACAUUUAAGUCAGAGGUGAAAUCCCGGGGCUCAACCGCGGAACUGCCUUUGAUACUGGAAGUCUUGAGUAUGGUAGAGGUGAGUGGAAUUCCGAGUGUAGAGGUGAAAUUCGUAGAAAUUCGGAGGAACACCAGUGGCUAAGGCGGCUCACUGGACCAUUACUGACGCUGAGGUGCGAAAGCGUGGGGAGCAAACAGG